RNAcentral lists this unclassified non-coding RNA (28 nucleotides) under Mus musculus (house mouse). RNAcentral's name for it is "oocyte_clustered_small_RNA6387". Lineage: Eukaryota; Metazoa; Chordata; Mammalia; Rodentia; Muridae. The record is from RNAcentral.
UUCACAGGGCUGUCCCUUCCAUUGAAAG